GUGAGGAACCGUGCGGAAAUACUAUUCUUGUUAACUUCCUCGGACUUGCUCUCCUCUGUCAACUUAAACCACAUAAACUCUAAUUAAUUUAAAACGAAAGUAAUUGAUGUAACGCAUCACAUACUAAGUCUCGACAACGGAACUCUUGGCUCUCGCAGCGAUAAAUAAUGCAACGUGAUGAGAUCAGUAAUGUGUAUUGCAUAAUUCCGUGAAUCAUCCCAUCUUUGAACGCACCUUGCGCGCCUUGGUAUUCCUUGAAUCAUGCCUGUUUGACUAUCAUGAAAUCUUCAAAGUAAAACUUUUGUUAAUUCAAUGUGGUUUCUACUUUGGUAUUGUAGGUCUUUGCCCUCUCUCACCUGCUCCUCUUUGUGCAUUAUCUGGAUCUCAGUGUUAUGCUUGGUUCCACUCGUCGUGAUAAGUUAUCUAUCGAUGAGGACACUGCGAAAGGUGGCGCAGGUAAAUCCAAAUGAACCGCUUCUAACAGUCCAUUGACUUGGACAAAUAAAUUUUUAUGAUCUGAUCUCAAAUCAAGUAGGACUACCG
This 543-nucleotide ribosomal RNA is filed under the name Rhizoctonia sp. CNPAF_0039_2. Its description in RNAcentral is "eukaryotic LSU rRNA". The stretch from base 126 to 279 matches the Rfam family "5.8S ribosomal RNA". Lineage: Eukaryota; Fungi; Basidiomycota; Agaricomycetes; Cantharellales; Ceratobasidiaceae. The record is from RNAcentral.